RNAcentral lists this ribosomal RNA (258 nucleotides) under uncultured bacterium. Its description in RNAcentral is "partial 16S ribosomal RNA". It matches the Rfam family "Bacterial small subunit ribosomal RNA", at positions 524 to 779 of the family's 1533-position model. The record is from RNAcentral.
UACAGAGGGUGCGAGCGUUAAUCGGAAUUACUGGGCGUAAAGCGUGCGUAGACGGCUAUCUAAGUCGGGUGUGAAAGCCCCGGGCUCAACCUGGGAAUUGCAUUCGAGACUGAAUAGCUAGGGUACGGUAGAGGGAAGUGGAAUUUCCGGUGUAGCGGUGAAAUGCGUAGAUAUCGGAAGGAACAUCAGUGGCGAAAGCGACUUCCUGGACCAGUACCGACCGUUCAGGCACGAAAGCGUGGGGAGCAAACAGGGAAU